UCGACUAUAUCGCGUUGAAACACCGGUUCUCGUACGAUCACAGAAGUUAAGCAACGUCGAGUGGGGUCAUUGUCUAGUUUGGUAACCGCUUGGGAAUACCGGGUUCUGUAA
This is a non-coding RNA of Acanthosepion pharaonis, 111 nucleotides long. The record is from the annotation of a GenBank genome assembly. NCBI's taxonomy places the organism in Eukaryota, Metazoa, Mollusca, Cephalopoda, Sepiida, Sepiidae.